This 497-nucleotide ribosomal RNA is filed under the name uncultured bacterium. Its description in RNAcentral is "partial 16S ribosomal RNA". It matches the Rfam family "Bacterial small subunit ribosomal RNA", at positions 28 to 507 of the family's 1533-position model. The record is from RNAcentral.
GAUGAACGCUGGCGGCGUGCCUAAUACAUGCAAGUCGAGCGAACAGACGAGGGGCUUGCUCCUCUGACGUUAGCGGCGGACGGGUGAGUAACACGUGGAUAACCUACCUAUAAGACUGGGAUAACUUCGGGAAACCGGAGCUAAUACCGGAUAAUAUAUUGAACCGCAUGGUUCAAUAGUGAAAGACGGUUUUGCUGUCACUUAUAGAUGGAUCCGCGCCGCAGUAGCUAGUUGGUAAGGUAACGGCUUACCAAGGCGACGAUGCGUAGCCGACCUGAGAGGGUGAUCGGCCACACUGGAACUGAGACACGGUCCAGACUCCUACGGGAGGCAGCAGUAGGGAAUCUUCCGCAAUGGGCGAAAGCCUGACGGAGCAACGCCGCGUGAGUGAUGAAGGUCUUCGGAUCGUAAAACUCUGUUAUUAGGGAAGAACAAAUGUGUAAGUAACUAUGCACGUCUUGACGGUACCUAAUCAGAAAGCCACGGCUAACUACGUG